GCAAGUCGAGCGGUAACAGGGGAGAUUGCUCCUGCUGAGGAGCGGAGGUCGGGUGAGUAACGGGAAGGAAUCUGCCUAGUAGAGGGGGACAAAAUGUGGAAAUGCAUGCUAAUACCGCAUACGCUCUGAGGGGGAAAGGCGGGGAUCACUUGUGACCUUCCGCUAUUAGAUGAGCCUGCGUGAGAUUAGCUAGUUGGUAGGGUAAAGGCCUACCAAGGCGACGAUCUCUAACUGGUCUGAGAGGAUGACC
This 250-nucleotide ribosomal RNA is filed under the name uncultured bacterium. RNAcentral describes it as "partial 16S ribosomal RNA". It matches the Rfam family "Bacterial small subunit ribosomal RNA", at positions 57 to 305 of the family's 1533-position model. The record is from RNAcentral.